GUGACCAGCUAUUAGGGUAUCCGCAGUGCACAGGAAGCGAUGCAGUAACGUACUCUACAGGCUGGAAUCAUUCACGAGCCGAAAGUGAGGGCGCGGCCUGAAGAAGAUGUAAAGUAAUAUCCUGGCAGUGCAUGAGUUGGCAACAUGCUCCAUCCACGCUCCUCUUCCUCCCAAACCUCCCCCCCACCCUUCGUCCAUGAGGCAUCUCACGAGUGGCAACGACGAACCCCACCUGGCAUACUGGUGACGGCGCCAUCUGGUCGCGGCCAAGGCUCGCCAUCGGGCCCGCAACUCUGCACACAGCCUCCGCUGAUCUGACGAUGGAUUUUUGGCUCUUGGUACACCUGCCCAAGAUGUUUACUCUGGAUUGACACUUAGCCUGCUGGGAGGAUAGGGUUGUAGAGACAGACUUGAGUCUGUUCCACAUUCCCUCAUCUUAACAACCUGUUCACU
Long non-coding RNA from Perca flavescens (yellow perch), 453 nucleotides. RefSeq lists it as uncharacterized. NCBI's taxonomy places the organism in Eukaryota, Metazoa, Chordata, Actinopteri, Perciformes, Percidae. The record is from RefSeq and is a predicted model, not a curated record. The transcript is spliced from 3 exons.